UUUUUUUGGAUCCAGACGACCACAUAACAACUUGUCGAACGAUUUUAAUUUGCUUGCAGCUUCAAAGAAGCAAUCCUGAAAUUCAAAAAAAGAAAUUUCCUGGUAACCUGGUAAUAUCUGUUAUAUGAUGCAAUUCACAUGGGAGUAUGGACCUCAAAUUCAAAUUCAAGAGAUAGUUGGCAGGUUGUAUCUUGAGUACCUAUGUUCUAGGAGAAUUCCAAAUUUUUUAAGAUUAGGCAAGGGCACAGAGACUUAUAUUAUCAGUGUUACGCAGUGUUUCUUAACACAAACCGAUAAAAAUGCCAACAAAUAGGCUUUGUACCCCCCAAGACUGGGAAAUACUCUCAACAAUCAGAAAAAGGCUAUCAGCUAAUUUGAAUUAUCGUGUAUUUUACAGGCCUAAGACAAAUGCAUAGUUUAUACCAAGUCCUGAUAAUAAUUGCCUUAGGUGGCAUGCUAUUUCUCUUAAUAUUUGGACUUGGAAAGCUUGUAUAUACCUUUGAAGGCACAUUAUAUUAAUUUGAACGUUUAUAAUGCACAAAAACGUGUUAUAUUUAUGGCUUCAUUAAAAAUAAGAUUUUAAAGUACCAAAUUAUCAGCUUGAAUUGGCAUGUUUGUGGUAUCCUUUUCAUACAGCAGAAGAAAAGUGAGUUGCGAAGGUAUGGAUGAUUUGAAAUUUAUAUUUACGUUUUUUCCUUGGUUUGAUGUAGCUAGCUCACUAAAUUACUUUUUGGUGCCUGUGGCCACCAUGGAAAAUUAUUUUUGCUGUCAUCCUUCAAUCGAAUCAUUAGCUAGCUAGCUACAUACCUACCUCUAGCUACAGUCAGAAGAAGAAAAUUCAAUUCAUAAUGAUUAACAAAACUCUUUCUUUUUAAAUUUUAUUACACAAUUUUUAAAUAUUUCCUAAAACUCAAGUUGUAUCUUUUUGAUGUUGCAUUGUCACCAAUCCAAAACUAACGGGAACAUACCUUUUUAUUCGUUAAGGUAUUUGCUCAUUUGUUGUUAAAAACUUUUGUACUGUUGCUACUAGCCUUUUUACUGAUAUAUGUUCUAAAUCUGAACUAUUAUAUCAAACAGUGCCUUUACCUGGAAGUUCUACUUUGUUUACCUACUUUAGAAGUGAGCUUAUGUACGACGUGUGAAGUCACAAAUGAACAAUUGGACUUUUGUUCGAUAAUGGUGGCAACCGUUAAUGUAAUUAUUGUUUUUGGGAGAUUACAUUUGGACAUAUAUAAAAUGUUUAAAAAAGAUAAAAAAAAAUUAGAGCUUCAUCAUUUUCUUUACGACGCUAUGUUUUUGCUUUGUGUUUCACGAGCUUACAAUAAUGUGGUAUAGUUAAGUUAUGAUACGUAAAAACUACUCUUGAAUGACCCUUUAGGAAUGUGAAACCACAUAAUACACUUUUAUCAAAUUUUGUGUUUUUUUGUAACUUUUGUGUUCAGUAUGGUAGAUUAGUAUGCGUGUCAACUGGCCAAAAAAGAAAAAAAAAGUAGUGAUCUAUAUUUUAUGUGGUUAGCCUCAUUAAUUCCAAUAAAUUUACCCUGUCAAUUUUGUGCCAGGAGGGACAACAUGACGGUUCUAGAGUGCUAAAAAGCUUCCAUUUGAGCUACAAAAACCCUUUAAAUUUCUGUUCAAUAAGGUACAGUUGUUAUGUGGGAUUGAACCCAUAUGAAUGUGAAGUCAACGCUCUACCGACUGAACUACCAAUCCCUAAAAGAAGACAAUCCUUUAAAACAGAGUUUCAUGACUUUAUUAAUUCUAUCAAGCAUGUGUCAAGCAUAUCGUAUUUAGUUAAUGCUUUUUGAGCACUCUGUUCCAAAAAAUGAUAUAUAUUUUUAGUCUAGAAAUUUAGCUCUAAAUAUCGUCCCUCAAAGGCACUGGAUUUUGAUGUAUUUAGAGACUUUGCUAUAUAUAUAAUAUACUAUAUAAAAAUGUUUUCUGUUUCUUUAUAGAUUGUGUACAAUGAGAGCGAGAGAUGUUAUCUUUCAAUACAUGAGAUAAAAAGAAGAAAGCGAAACCUCACACCUCGUUGUUAUUGUUUUUCUGUCAAAAAUUUGAAGCUGUUUUAUAAAUCUUGAUAAAGUUAAUAAAUUGUUUUUGUUUCUGUA
Long non-coding RNA from Hydractinia symbiolongicarpus, 2108 nucleotides. RefSeq lists it as uncharacterized. Lineage: Eukaryota; Metazoa; Cnidaria; Hydrozoa; Anthoathecata; Hydractiniidae. The record is from RefSeq and is a predicted model, not a curated record. The transcript is spliced from 2 exons.